Molecule: non-coding RNA, 100 nt
Organism: Acanthosepion pharaonis
Lineage: Eukaryota; Metazoa; Mollusca; Cephalopoda; Sepiida; Sepiidae
Source: the annotation of a GenBank genome assembly
GCAUUGAAACAUUGGUUCCCAUAUGAUCACCAAAGUUAAGCAAUGUUGAGCCUGGUCAGUACCUAAGUGGAUGACCACUUGGGAAUACCAGGUAUGGUAA